This 460-nucleotide ribosomal RNA is filed under the name uncultured bacterium. Its description in RNAcentral is "partial 16S ribosomal RNA". It matches the Rfam family "Bacterial small subunit ribosomal RNA", at positions 338 to 795 of the family's 1533-position model. The record is from RNAcentral.
CCUACGGGUGGCAGCAGUGAGGAAUCUUUGUCAAUGGACGAGAGUCUGAACCAGCCAAGUAGCGUGAAGGAUGACUGCCCUAUGGGUUGUAAACUUCUUUUAUAUGGGAAUAAAACAGGGUAUGCAUACAAUCUUGUAUGUACCAUAUGAAUAAGGAUCGGCUAACUCCGUGCAAGCAGCCGCGGUAAUACGGAGGAUCCGAGCGUUAUCCGGAUUUAUUGGGUUUAAAGGGAGCGUAGGUGGAUUGUUAAGUCAGUUGUGAAAGUUUGCGGCUCAAACGUAAAAUUGCAGUUGAAACUGGCAGUCUUGAGUACAGUAGAGGUGGGCGGAAUUCGUGGUGUAGCGGUGAAAUGCUUAGAUAUCACGAAGAACUCCGAUUGCGAAGGCAGCUCACUGGACUGCAACUGACACUGAUGCUCGAAAGUGUGGGUAUCAAACAGGAUUAGAUACCCCUGUAGUC